AAAGUUUAUGAAAGUUGCUUAAAAUCCAAGAAAAGGGCAUGAUUAUGAUUUUGUGAGGUAUUUGGAGGUUUGUAAGAGAUGAUUAAUGUUCCUUGAUACCAUAUAUGUUUGGAAUAGCUGUUUAUAAGAAUUUAUAACAUGUUUGGAUGAAUUUUUGAGCUGAUUCAAUGAUAAACCGCCUUAGAAAACUCAAGAACAGAUGUUCUUCUGGUGUGGUUCGC
RNAcentral lists this long non-coding RNA (221 nucleotides) under Trifolium pratense (red clover). RNAcentral's name for it is "long non-coding RNA (TPRA_LNC009729)". Lineage: Eukaryota; Viridiplantae; Streptophyta; Magnoliopsida; Fabales; Fabaceae. The record is from RNAcentral.